This 497-nucleotide ribosomal RNA is filed under the name uncultured bacterium. Its description in RNAcentral is "partial 16S ribosomal RNA". It matches the Rfam family "Bacterial small subunit ribosomal RNA", at positions 28 to 507 of the family's 1533-position model. The record is from RNAcentral.
GAUGAACGCUGGCGGCGUGCCUAAUACAUGCAAGUCGAGCGAACAGACGAGGAGCUUGCUCCUUUGACGUUAGCGGCGGACGGGUGAGUAACACGUGGGUAACCUACCUAUAAGACUGGGAUAACUUCGGGAAACCGGAGCUAAUACCGGAUAAUAUUUCGAACCGCAUGGUUCGAUAGUGAAAGAUGGCUUUGCUAUCACUUAUAGAUGGACCUGCGCCGUAUUAGCUAGUUGGUAAGGUAACGGCUUACCAAGGCAACGAUACGUAGCCGACCUGAGAGGGGGAUCGGCCACACUGGAACUGAGACACGGUCCAGACUCCUACGGGAGGCAGCAGUAGGGAAUCUUCCGCAAUGGGCGAAAGCCUGACGGAGCAACGCCGCGUGAGUGAUGAAGGUCUUCGGAUCGUAAAACUCUGUUAUUAGGGAAGAACAAACGUGUAAGUAACUGUGCACGUCUUGACGGUACCUAAUCAGAAAGCCACGGCUAACUACGUG